AAUAAAAAAAAGAUAAGGAUAAGUACUGGAUGGAUCGGUCCUCAACCCGAUCCAUCCAGACUCUUCACGCCGUGUGCGUCUCUCUCUCUCGCUCGCGAACUCUCUCUCUCUCUCCUGUUGCUUGCCACCGCUGCGCUGCUCCAGCCGCUGGCCGCCGCUGCGCCGCCCCCUGCUGCCACCUGCUGCGCUGCACAGCGCCGCACGUCGCCGCUGCUGCUGCUGUCGCCGGCGCUGCCGCUGCGCCGCCGUGCACGCGCCGCCGUGCGCCGCGCCGCUGCUCCGUUCCCGCCGCCGCCUGCCUGCGUCGUGCGCUUGCUCUGGCCGCCGCGGGCUCUCUCUCUCUCUCUCUCUGUGUGUGGCUUGAUCAAAGAAGAAGCAAGCAAGCAGAGCCGGCCGGGAGAGAAGCUAGGAAGAAGAAGCCAGGAAAGAGAAAGGAAAAAAAGGAGAAAAGAAAAGAAAAGAAAAGGAAAAGUUGGAAAUUUCGAGAUUUCGUCGGAUUCGUCGUCAAUUUUUCGAAGGCGAAUUCUCGGUGGUACUAUUUUCGGACGUUCUUGAUCGAAUUUUCUUCAUCGUCGGUAAAGGCAAGUGAAUGUAUUGUAUGACUAUGCUUUAACCUAAUAUUGGGUUGCCUACAUUCUUUAAUUACAGUGCAUUCAUCUAAUCUGAA
Molecule: long non-coding RNA, 667 nt
Organism: Phragmites australis (common reed)
Lineage: Eukaryota; Viridiplantae; Streptophyta; Magnoliopsida; Poales; Poaceae
Exons: 2
Source: RefSeq, a predicted model, not a curated record